GUGGGUGUAGCUCAACGGUUAGAGCACCAGGCUGUGGACCUGGGAGUUGAGGGUUCGAAACCCUUCACCCACCCCA
Molecule: transfer RNA, 76 nt
Filed under: Deltaproteobacteria bacterium
Lineage: Bacteria; Pseudomonadati; Myxococcota; Myxococcia
Description: tRNA-His
Rfam family: tRNA
About the family: Transfer RNA (tRNA) molecules are approximately 80 nucleotides in length. Their secondary structure includes four short double-helical elements and three loops (D, anti-codon, and T loops).
Source: RNAcentral